UUGUUUUAUUCAGUUUUAGAUUUUUUGAUUUAGGGUUUCAAAUCAUUUUUGUGUAUUAGUUUUUUAAUAUUUUAUGUUAUUGUUUCUUUUCAUUACAACGAUUUGCACAUCUACAAUCUCAUAUCUACCUGAACAUUUUCUGAUAUCGAUCGCUCAUUUAUCAUUUUUCUUCUUGACUACAAGAUGGAACAUUUCAUAGAGCAAGAUGAGCCAUCUAACCAUCUAACCAUGGAUUAUCAACGUCAAAGUAGCAUGGAUCAUCAAUGCAAAGUAGCAUG
Long non-coding RNA from Vicia villosa (hairy vetch), 278 nucleotides. RefSeq lists it as uncharacterized. NCBI's taxonomy places the organism in Eukaryota, Viridiplantae, Streptophyta, Magnoliopsida, Fabales, Fabaceae. The transcript is spliced from 3 exons. The record is from RefSeq and is a predicted model, not a curated record.